GAUGAACGCUGGCGGCGUGCCUAAUACAUGCAAGUAGAACGCUGAAGGAAGGAGCUUGCUCUUUCCGGAUGAGUUGCGAACGGGUGAGUAACGCGUAGGUAACCUGCCUGGUAGCGGGGGAUAACUAUUGGAAACGAUAGCUAAUACCGCAUAACAGUAGAUGUUGCAUGACAACUAUUUGAAAGGGGCAAUUGCUCCACUACCAGAUGGACCUGCGUUGUAUUAGCUAGUUGGUGAGGUAACGGCUCACCAAGGCGACGAUACAUAGCCGACCUGAGGGGGUGAUCGGCCACACUGGGACUGGGGCACGGGCCAGACUCCUACGGGAGGCAGCAGUAGGGGAUCUUCGGCAAUGGACGGAAGUCUGACCGAGCAACGCCGCGUGAGUGAAGAAGGUUUUCGGAUCGUAAAGCUCUGUUGUAAGAGAAGAACGAGAGUGAGAGUGAAAAGUUCACACUGUGACGGUAUCUUACCAGAAAGGGACGGCUAACUACGUG
This 497-nucleotide ribosomal RNA is filed under the name uncultured bacterium. RNAcentral describes it as "partial 16S ribosomal RNA". It matches the Rfam family "Bacterial small subunit ribosomal RNA", at positions 28 to 507 of the family's 1533-position model. The record is from RNAcentral.